UACGUAGGGGGCAAGCGUUGUCCGGAAUCAUUGGGCGUAAAGCGCGUGUAGGCGGUCCGGUAAGUCCGCUGUGAAAGUCGGGGGCUUAACCCUCGGAUGCCGGUGGAUACUGUCGGGCUUGAGUACGGAAGAGGCGAGUGGAAUUCCUGGUGUAGCGGUGAAAUGCGCAGAUAUCAGGAGGAACACCGGUGGCGAAGGCGGGACUCUGGGCCGAUACUGACGCUGAGGAGCGAAAGCGUGGGGAGCAAACAGG
Molecule: ribosomal RNA, 253 nt
Filed under: uncultured bacterium
Lineage: Bacteria
Description: partial 16S ribosomal RNA
Rfam family: Bacterial small subunit ribosomal RNA
Source: RNAcentral